Molecule: long non-coding RNA, 1509 nt
Organism: Oxyura jamaicensis (ruddy duck)
Lineage: Eukaryota; Metazoa; Chordata; Aves; Anseriformes; Anatidae
Exons: 4
Source: RefSeq, a predicted model, not a curated record
UUGGUUUUGCUCAGAGGAAAAAAAAAAAGGUAGCUUUGGUUUUGCUGGAUGGAACUCUGUGUCAGUGAAAUGUACUGUUGCACAUGGUGUGCUGCUGCUCCUUGACCUCUCUGCUGCUCAGCUUGCUGCUUUGAGCUUUCUGUGUACUCAUGAAGUGAGUUCAGUGCCUUCUGCCUUGCUUCCUCAAGGAAGGGAGCAACAGCCAUGGGGGAGAAGGGAGCCUUGCUGCUCUUGUCCGUAUGUGAUGAUCCAGAGCAAGACUUGAGGGAAUCCAGGGAAGACUGAAUUGUAAUAUCUUCCAUCUUCUCCUGACAUACCAGAAACCUGAUCAUCGGACUGUAAAGCUAAUGGAGAAAGUCACGCACCUGCUCCAUCUCGUAUGACUGAGCUGAGUUUGGAACUGAAGAGGACAUCCACGUGAUUCAAGAUGAAUUCCACAACGACUGACUGGAUUCGCACCUCCAUGAAAGCAGCUGUUCCACUGAAGCAGGCAGACUCGAUCUGCCUUGAUCUGAAGAAAAGGAAGAUUAAAUAAAAUGCAAACAGCCAGAAGACUCUGGAAGAUAUGCUCCCCUUGGGUAAGUCUUCGUCACGUGUUGAACUACUGUGCCACAUUGCUCGGGCAGACCAGACUUUAGGGACAGUUAAGAGAUAAACCUCAUCAAAGCAUUAUACGAAUAGUCAUACUGACUGCAGUGAUUUACAUCCAGGUUUUGGUUUCAGGUUGGAGUCCUACUGAAAGAGGCAAGAGGAACAAUGGGUCAAGAAGGAAAGAAGGCACAUGGCAGGUUCAGAUUGAGAGCCUUUCACAAAAUCUCCAGAGCAUGUUUUCCAAGACCACGGAGGCAAUCCGACUGUUUAGCUCCCGAGGGCCAUGAUGGGGAGCUGCCUGGAGGAAGAGUCCCCGCAGGUCAGAAUGAAAGCUGCUGUCCCUUUGCAUUUCAGAGGCCUGGAAACUGAAAUGAUAAAGCAAUGCUGAACGGCAGCGCUGCUGGCACUGCUGCACAUGGAAACUCCUGUGUGCAGAAAUUCCUUGGGUCCAAGCUGGUGAGCCGAGCACGCCUCUGCUAAGGGGCGAAGAGAGCCAGCAACCACAUGAAGACAAACCUCGAGCAUUCCCUUGGUUUUCAGAGAGAGGAAAACCAAAAUCACAAACAUCUAUGAAAUAAAAGCUGAGCUUAGAAGGCCAAGAGCUGGCUUGCUGCUCGGAUAUGCGCAUGGAGAUUGCUGUUUCAAAUUAGCAGGCCAGAUCUGCAGGGGCUGGCAUGGCCACAGGGAGCUGCAAGAACAUGGCUGCUUUAGCUGGAGCUCAGUGUCCCUGCCAUUGUCGUUAAGCUGUAAACCCAACAACUUAUCAGCAACGUGGGGAGUCACCCUGUCUGCACUACAACCACAGCAAUGGCAGGGGCUUGGUGACAACAGCCCCAGCCUCCCCCGAGUCCAGGCCAGACAAUUUGUAACGCAGAAGAUAAAACGCGACUUAGGCACAGUUCAAACGCCAAGCUUGCC